RNAcentral lists this ribosomal RNA (301 nucleotides) under uncultured bacterium. RNAcentral describes it as "partial 16S ribosomal RNA". It matches the Rfam family "Bacterial small subunit ribosomal RNA", at positions 509 to 809 of the family's 1533-position model. The record is from RNAcentral.
CAGCCGCCACGGGAAUACGAAGGGUGCAAGCGUUAAUCGGAAUUACUGGGCGUAAAGCGUGCGUAGGCGGUUUGUUAAGUCUGCUGUGAAAUCCCCGGGCUCAACCUGGGAAUGGCAGUGGAUACUGGCAAGCUAGAGUGUGUCAGAGGAUGGUGGAAUUCCCGGUGUAGCGGUGAAAUGCGUAGAGAUCGGGAGGAACAUCAGUGGCGAAAGCGGCUCACUGGACCAUUUCUGACGCUGAUGCACGAAAGCUAGGGGAGCAAACAGGAUUAGAUACCCCUGUAGUCCCUGUCUCUUAUAU